RNAcentral lists this ribosomal RNA (802 nucleotides) under uncultured bacterium. Its description in RNAcentral is "bacterial SSU rRNA". It matches the Rfam family "Bacterial small subunit ribosomal RNA", at positions 8 to 796 of the family's 1533-position model. The record is from RNAcentral.
AGAGUUUGAUCAUGGCUCAGGACGAACGCUGGCGGCGUGCUUAACACAUGCAAGUCGAGCGGAAAGGCUUCCUUCGGGAAGUACUCGAGCGGCGAACGGGUGAGUAACACGUGGAUAAUCAACCUCUUGCUCUGGAAUACCCCGGGGAAACUCGGAUCAAUGCCAGAUAAAGUGCGGUGCUGCAGGGUGCCGUACCAAAGAUAGCUUCGGCCUUCGGCGAGAGACGAGUCCGCGGCCCAUUAGCUAGUUGGCGGGGUAAUGGCCCACCAAGGCUACGAUGGGUAGCUGGUCUGAGAGGAUGAUCAGCCACACUGGGACUGAGACACGGCCCAGACUCCUACGGGAGGCAGCAGUGGGGAAUCUUGCGCAAUGGGCGAAAGCCUGACGCAGCAACGCCGCGUGCGGGAGGAAGGCCUUCGGGUUGUAAACCGCUUUCAGGGGAGACGAAGCUUCCAGGGUGAAUAGCUCUGCGGAGUGACGGUAUCUUCAGAAGAAGUCCCGGCUAACUACGUGCCAGCAGCCGCGGUGAUACGUAGGGGACAAGCGUUGUCCGGAAUUAUUGGGCGUAAAGCGCGUGUAGGCGGCCAAGUAAGUCUUACGUGAAAUCCUGAGGCUCAACCUCAGGCCUGCGCGGGAUACUGCUUGGCUAGAGUCCGGAAGAGGAGAGUGGAAUUCCUGGUGUAGCGGUGGAAUGCGCAGAUAUCAGGAGGAACAUCCGUGGCGAAGGCGGCUCUCUGGGACGGUACUGACGCUGAGACGCGAAAGCGUGGGGAGCGAACAGGAUUAGAUACCCUAGUAGUCC